Molecule: ribosomal RNA, 513 nt
Filed under: uncultured bacterium
Lineage: Bacteria
Description: partial 16S ribosomal RNA
Rfam family: Bacterial small subunit ribosomal RNA
Source: RNAcentral
GACGAACGCUGGCGGCGUGCUUAACACAUGCAAGUCGAACGAGAGCGUAGAGAAAGCUUGCUUUUUCUACAAUCUAGUGGCAAACGGGUGAGUAACGCGUAAACAACCUGCCCUUCGGAUGGGGACAACAGCUGGAAACGGCUGCUAAUACCGAAUACGUUCCGAAAGUCGCAUGACUAUCGGAAGAAAGGAUGGCCUCUAUUUAUAAGCUAUCGCCGGAGGAGGGGUUUGCGUCUGAUUAGCUAGUUGGAGGGGUAACGGCCCACCAAGGCGACGAUCAGUAGCCGGUCUGAGAGGAUGAACGGCCACAUUGGAACUGAGACACGGUCCAGACUCCUACGGGAGGCAGCAGUGGGGAAUCUUCCGCAAUGGGCGAAAGCCUGACGGAGCAACGCCGCGUGAGUGAAGACGGCCUUCGGGUUGUAAAGCUCUGUUAUACGGGACGAAUAAUCUUGUGGUUAAUACCCAGGAGAAGUGACGGUACCGGAAGAGAAAGCCACGGCUAACUACGUG